GACGAACGCUGGCGGCGUGCUUAACACAUGCAAGUCGAACGGAAAGGCCCUGCUUUUGUGGGGUGCUCGAGUGGCGAACGGGUGAGUAACACGUGAGUAACCUGCCCUUGACUUUGGGAUAACUUCAGGAAACUGGGGCUAAUACCGGAUAGGAGCUCCUGCUGCAUGGUGGGGGUUGGAAAGUUUCGGCGGUUGGGGAUGGACUCGCGGCUUAUCAGCUUGUGGGGGGGGUAGUGGCUUACCAAGGCUUUGACGGGUAGCCGGCCUGAGAGGGUGACCGGCCACAUUGGGACUGAGAUACGGCCCAGACUCCUACGGUAGGCAGCAGUGGGGAAUAUUGCACAAUGGGCGGAAGCCUGAUGCAGCAACGCCGCGUGCGGGAUGACGGCCUUCGGGUUGUGAACCGCUUUCGCCUGUGACGAAGCGUGAGUGACGGUAAUGGGUAAAGAAGCACCGGCUAACUACGUG
RNAcentral lists this ribosomal RNA (468 nucleotides) under uncultured bacterium. Its description in RNAcentral is "partial 16S ribosomal RNA". It matches the Rfam family "Bacterial small subunit ribosomal RNA", at positions 28 to 507 of the family's 1533-position model. The record is from RNAcentral.